CAUUGUGCUACACUCUAUGAACUACCCGUGUGCAAUACAUUCUGAAUGUUAUUAGGAAGCAAUUUAGAUUGAAAAUGUAUGUCGUGUGCUCUCUUUAAAUGACCCGCCCUUUGUGUCUAAUCCAGAGACAUCUGAACCUGAGGAGCAGCGAGUUCUCCACAGAGAGCUUCAGGGUCACCUGGGAACACUCAGCCAAAGACGUGGUCCUCUACAGACUCACCUGGACCCCAACCAGAGGAGGAGCACUAAUGAGACGCAGGUGAAUGGUAACAUGAACACCUACCUUCUGACUGGACUGAUUCCCAACACUGAAUACAAGGUGGGCGUGUCCGCCAUCUUCAGAGACAAGUUUGAAAGUGACGCCAUGACCAUCAAAGAGUCAACAGGUAAAUUACAGGAUAUAUAGCUAAUCUAACCACUCUCAAGGACUUACACACCUACUGCAGACCUACAAUUACAAAGUCGCAUUCACUUUGUAAUUGCACUGUUGAACUUUCAACAUAACAAGGCCAACGUAGUUGAUUAUAGCUGAGUAUGUAUAGUGAUACUAUUAGGUAACUUUAGGUGAAAAAGGUCUAACAAACAAUUAUACAAAAAGACAGCAGGGUUUACCAAACAAUUAUACAAAAAGACAGCAGGGUUUACCAAACAAUUAUACAAAAAGACAGCAGGGUUUACCAAACAAUUAUACAAAAAGACAGCAGGGUUUACCAAACAAUUAUACAAAAAGACAGCAGGGUUUACUAAA
Molecule: long non-coding RNA, 748 nt
Filed under: Salmo trutta (river trout)
Lineage: Eukaryota; Metazoa; Chordata; Actinopteri; Salmoniformes; Salmonidae
Description: lncRNA (ENSSTUG00000036085.1)
Source: RNAcentral